RNAcentral lists this ribosomal RNA (439 nucleotides) under uncultured bacterium. Its description in RNAcentral is "partial 16S ribosomal RNA". It matches the Rfam family "Bacterial small subunit ribosomal RNA", at positions 339 to 795 of the family's 1533-position model. The record is from RNAcentral.
CUACGGGGCGCACCAGUGAGGAAUAUUGCACAAUGGGGGGAACCCUGAUGCAGCAACGCCGCGUGGAGGAUGACGCAUUUCGGUGUGUAAACUCCUUUUAUAUGUCAAGAAAAUGACGGUAGCAUAUGAAUAAGCACCGGCUAACUCCGUGCCAGCAGCCGCGGUAAUACGGAGGGUGCACGCGUUACUCGGAAUCACUGGGCGUAAAGGGCGCGUAGGCGGGUUGGAAAGUCAGGUGUGAAAUCCUACAGCUUAACUGUAGAACUGCACUUGAAACUUCUAAUCGAGAGUAUGGGAGGGGGAGAUGGAAUUAGUGGUGUAGGGGUAAAAUCCGUAGAUAUCACUAGGAAUACCUAAAGCGAAGGCGAUCUCCUGGAACAUUACUGACGCUAAGGCGUGAAAGCGUGGGGAGCAAACAGGAUUAGAUACCCCCGUAGUC